GAAUUUUAUAUAAAUUUAUUUGGUUUAAGUUAUGUUUGUUUGGAAUAAAAAAUUAUAUUUAAUUGGGAGGAUUUUUAAAUUAUAAAAACUUUAGAAUUUAAAUUACAUUAAUUAAUGGAUAAAUAAUUUAAUGAGGGAUAAAUUAAGUUAAUAAAGAAAUAAUUACCUUAGGGAUAACAGCGUAAUAUUUUUAAAUAGAUCAUAUAGAUAAAAAUGAUUGC
RNAcentral lists this ribosomal RNA (221 nucleotides) under Cyphomyrmex rimosus. RNAcentral's name for it is "partial large subunit ribosomal RNA". The record is from RNAcentral. Lineage: Eukaryota; Metazoa; Arthropoda; Insecta; Hymenoptera; Formicidae.